UACGGAGGGUGCAAGCGUUAAUCGGAAUUACUGGGCGUAAAGCGUGCGCAGGCGGUUUGUUAAGUCUGUUGUGAAAUCCCCGAGCUCAACUUGGGAAUUGCAAUGGAUACUGGCAGGCUAGAGUACGGUAGAGGAAGGUGGAAUUCCCGGUGUAGCAGUGAAAUGCGUAGAGAUCGGGAGGAACACCAGUGGCGAAGGCGGCCUUCUGGACCAGUACUGACGCUCAUGCACGAAAGCGUGGGGAGCAAAC
RNAcentral lists this ribosomal RNA (250 nucleotides) under uncultured bacterium. RNAcentral describes it as "partial 16S ribosomal RNA". It matches the Rfam family "Bacterial small subunit ribosomal RNA", at positions 524 to 773 of the family's 1533-position model. The record is from RNAcentral.